GGAGAGAUCGCAUAGUGGACGAGUGCGCAGGCCUGGAAAGCUUGUAUGGCCGCAAGGUCAUCGAGGGUUCGAAUCCCUCUCUCUCCN
Molecule: non-coding RNA, 87 nt
Organism: Candidatus Roizmanbacteria bacterium
Lineage: Bacteria; Candidatus Roizmaniibacteriota
Source: Rfam